GGUUUUGCGCAAUGGCAGUAUCGUAGCCAACGAGGUUAAUCCAAGGCAUGAUUAUUGCUAAUUGAAAACUUUUCUCUGAUUUUAAAAAAACAAACCAACCCAAAAUCCACUUUUUUGUUUCAUUGUCAUAGUGGGGGGGGAGCAGAUUUUUGUUUUUUUUAAUUAAAG
Molecule: small nuclear RNA, 168 nt
Filed under: Alligator sinensis (Chinese alligator)
Lineage: Eukaryota; Metazoa; Chordata; Crocodylia; Alligatoridae
Description: U4 spliceosomal RNA
Rfam family: U4 spliceosomal RNA
About the family: U4 small nuclear RNA (U4 snRNA) is a component of the major U2-dependent spliceosome. The structure of U4 snRNA from yeast and human has been reported. U4 snRNA presents a k-turn RNA motif in the 5p-SL related to recognition of Snu13 protein.
Source: Rfam by way of RNAcentral